RNAcentral lists this long non-coding RNA (383 nucleotides) under Sinocyclocheilus anshuiensis. RNAcentral describes it as "lncRNA (ENSSANG00000017646.1)". The record is from RNAcentral. Lineage: Eukaryota; Metazoa; Chordata; Actinopteri; Cypriniformes; Cyprinidae.
UUCUUGACCCCAUACUUUUCAAUGGUAUGGUGUCAUGCUUUGGUGUCAUUGAUUGUGAUGCACAGCUGUUCUUGACCCCAUUCCAAAGCAUUUUUAAAUAAUAUCUUCUUACUCUCAUUCUUUACAGUGGGUGGGAUUUUGGGAUAUCGUCAUUUAAAAUACAAAGGUUCAUACAAUACUGGUGAAGAACUGCGGACAAAAGAAGAGUUAUUGCUAAAUCAAAGUGUUUAAACUCAAGGGCAAACAAUCGGACGGCUCCUUUGCUUUAGCAUUAUUCCUGCACAUGGAUUCAUUGAAGUUUAAACUUUGUUGUAUUUUAUAAACUAGAUUUUGUAUUUAUUUAUAACUGCUACAAAAUGUUUUGCUUUUUAGAAAUAUAUUAG